Molecule: ribosomal RNA, 440 nt
Filed under: uncultured bacterium
Lineage: Bacteria
Description: partial 16S ribosomal RNA
Rfam family: Bacterial small subunit ribosomal RNA
Source: RNAcentral
CCUACGGGGGGCAGCAGUGGGGGAUAUUGCACAAUGGGGGGAACCCUGAUGCAGCGACGCCGCGUGGGUGAAGGAGCGUUUCGGCGCGUAAAGCCCUAUCGGCAGGGAAGAAGAUGACGGUACCUGACCAAGAAGCCACGGCUAACUACGUGCCAGCAGCCGCGGUAAUACGUAGGGGGCAAGCGUUAUCCGGAUUUACUGGGGGGAAAGGGGGCGCAGACGGCAAUGCAAGCCAGGAGUGAAAGCCCGGGGCCCAACCCAGGGACUGCUCUGGGAACUGGAUGGCUGGAGUACAGGAGGGGCAGGCGGAAUUCCUAGUGUAGCGGUGAAAUGCGUAGAUAUCACGAAGAACCCCGAUUGCGAAGGCAGCUUACUAGACUGUGACUGACAUUGAGGCUCGAAAGUGUGGGUAUCAAACAGGAUUAGAUACCCGGGUAGUC